This 212-nucleotide unclassified non-coding RNA is filed under the name Hevea brasiliensis (rubber tree). Lineage: Eukaryota; Viridiplantae; Streptophyta; Magnoliopsida; Malpighiales; Euphorbiaceae. The record is from RNAcentral.
AUUCUCAAUUAUAAUCAUAAUAAUCAAAUCUCUAAUAAUAAAAUACUAGACAUAGGCAUUUAGUGUAUAUCACUGUCCAUAAUUGAAACUAAUCAAGAAUACUAAAUCAAAACAAACUUCCUAAAUAACAAAAAUAGUGAUAGAAUUUCUAAAUAAUAGAAACACUCCUGAUAUUUCCUAAAUAAUAGAAAUAUAAUCUUCCUAAUUUUACA